CUGCUGCCUUCCGUAGGAGUCUGGGCCGUGUCUCAGUCCCAAUGUGGCCGGCCAACCUCUCAGUCCGGCUACUGAUCGUCGCCUUGGUGGGCCGUUACCCCGCCAACUAGCUAAUCAGACGCGAGUCCAUCUCAGAGCGAUAAAUCUUUGGCAGUCAGAGCCAUGCGACUCAACUGCAUCAUGCGGUAUUAGCAGCUGUUUCCAACUGUUAUUCCCCAUCCAAGGCAGGUUACU
Molecule: ribosomal RNA, 234 nt
Filed under: uncultured bacterium
Lineage: Bacteria
Description: partial 16S ribosomal RNA
Source: RNAcentral